UUAAGUCUAGUGAAAUGUGCAUUAAGUUUAUAGGAGUUGCUUGGAACCCUUUGAUGCAUUGCCUUCCUUGAUAUCCAUACCUUUAUAGAUACUUCUGAUGAAGUAUCAAAAUAUGAUUUACAAAAUUUGCUUAGCCUUGCUUAGAGGUAAAUCUUGUGGAUAGAGGUUGUCCUUUGCGUUAAUGCCUAGCUCAGGGGUUAUCCUGAGGAAGGAUGGCUUCUGCCUGCAAGAAUAUUUUCAUUGGGAGCAAUGGUGGGAUCUUACUGCAAAGUUCCCUUUGAUGCUCUUUUCAUCCUGAGGAAUACAAACAAUCCUAAGGGUGGAAGUACUUAAAUCGGGACUUGGGCUAGGAACAGGUGAUGCUCCGCCCGGGUCAAUUAAGGAUUGGAUGCGUAUGUAGGCCUGAUAGAUCAAGGACUAUCUUAACUGGCCACAUGCCCUGGAAAUGGGACAGGGUAAGCUUGAACCCGGCUAUUCCAUACGUGAAAAGACAACCGCGCACUGGGCGUGGGAGAUGGUGGGAGUAGCGUGUGCCCUCCUGGCUAGAGGCUGGAUGGAGGAGUACUGUGCUCCCGGGUAGCGCGGACCGGUUCACGUUGUGGAGGAUCUGUGGGAACGGUUGACAUAUGCAAGGGUUAAGUGCUACAUAUGUCGUGUGGUUAGAGAUCCUCAGCUGAGUAAAUCGAUUCGGAUCGCCGUUAUAUCCCCGGAGAGUGGAGACUUGAUCACUGACCUGCAACCUAAGUCAGGAUGUGAACCUCAUGAAUAAAAAUGAUGUUGUAUUGAUGAGAUGGUGAAAUUAGACCAGAUGCAAAUAGAGUCUAUUAAUAUUUAAUCUGGCGUUAAAAUAUUGAAAGUAAGGACUCACUUUAGUAAGCUAUUUCUGCAAAAGUAUCUAAGUUGAUUCUUGCUAAAGCCUCUCCUUGAUUCCCAAAUCCAGCAUACCCUUGAGAGUCUUUUCUUUAGUCGGGUAAGUCUUGCUGAGUAAUUCCAUACUCAGGGUUUUAUUCCCUGUUGUUUUUCAGGUUCUAACUUUGUGCUGCUUUUGAUGGUGUUAAGUGCCGGUGGGCUCGGCCUUCUUAUAUAAGUAUAACCCGUCUUUAUCUUCUUACUGAGGAUGGUCAUUUGAGCUAGCAUAUAUUUCAAACUUAUACUUUUGUAAUCACUCCGAUAAAAUAAUAUAAAAUUUUUGUAACUUGUAAAAUUUGGUAAUAAGAUUUCCACUGCAAAAAUAUUGGUGUGUGUGAUUUGUGUUACUUAAUCCCGCGGUUCUGGUUGUAAGUGGUUUAUCCGGUGUCCUUGGGGCAAUCGGACGGAUCCUGUUAAGUUAUUUAGUGCACAUGCAUAGUUGUCUAAGGUCUUUGAGACAAGGACAGGUGCAUGUGGGCCCAAUAACUUGGGAGGUUCUGCCACAGCUGGUAUCGGAGCAGGAUUAAGUAUAUACGGUCACAUACAUAUUUUCAAAACAAAAGUUUUGGUUUUGGAAAACCUAUUUUCAACUAAACACAUUGUUUGGCUUUGAAAAACAGUUUUGAAAAACUAUAAUGCUAGCGACAUCCUCUAUUAAGCCCUAAAUUAAGGACUAUCAGGUGGCUUAGUUGAAAACCAUAACUGGGUGGAUAUUGCAUACAUGUGUAUUGUUAUUUUUGAGGCCAUUCAGUUUUGAAUGGAUCGAUGCUCAGGUAAGGUGAGAUGUGAGAGCAUGACCGAACAAACGUCGGUCUAGGGAAGAGUAUAAAAAGCGCUUGAUUAUAUACAUGUUCCAUAUAUGUAUAUAUGAAGGCUGCGAUGUGGAGUAUUUACUUUUCCGGGAAUUCAGUACCCCAUGGAUGUGUAUGGGUAUACAGACAUGGGAAUACUGAGAAAUGUAUUGUACUUGUAACGACGCACCUACGCUCAGGUAAGAAGGUGAGUUACCAUAAUGAGUUGCCCUAUGGUUAAAGUGUGGCAACGGCGCCUAUGCGUGGCUCAGCGCUUAAUGAUGAGCUGGCCUCCAUAUAGCAAUAUAUGGAGUAUAAACUGUGAUAAACUGUCAUGUGUGAAUUGCAUCAUUGGGAAAUUGGGUUGUGAUGAAAUUUUCUGCAGGUACACUAACCUCGAAAACGUAUGUGUAGUUGACGACUAGCAAAAUACCGAGAGAGAACGUAUGCCACCGGUAUAGAACGUUAUUGCCACAUUAUGUUGGCAAAAUCAGUGAGGACGUGUAGGACGAGCAUGCAUCCAGAUUGUUGCAUCAUGUUUGUCACCUAUACAUCCAAAAUGCUUCUCUCAUCCUUAUUCCAGAAACCAGUGAUUGUAGAUAAUCUGGUGUAAUGUUGAAUUAUAAACUUCGAUGUAAUAGCUGUCCUCCGUUCUUUAGGUAAUCUAUUUAGGUGUUAUAUGUGUUUGCUCUUGUGCUUGAUAUGUCGAUAGAAGGUUAGUAGUUUGGUUACCUAAACCCAAAACUAGGCUAUGUUCUUGUCUAGUGAGUCAUGACCCAAAGUUGAUUUUUCCGUCAUCACUCCAUGACCAAACACAUAAAAAAAUAAAUGCCUAGAUAAUUACCUUGUUGGACAUAAAUUGUACCCGGACUUAAAACAAGAAUCUCGAGUUAUAUCUCCUUCCAAAACCAUGUCCUUGUUUGGUUGGUGCAAGCUGAUGUACCUUAUCCAGUUUGCCUGUUUUUAAGGAUCGCCAUGUUGCUUUAUCAACCUAACCUAGAAAAGACAUGUCCGAUCAUUUUCUUAAGUUUGAUGCCUUUGGUUUCCUCAUAUCUCUCGAAGGCAUACCAACUUAAUCUUCUAAUUGUUUUCCCUCCGUAUCUAAUAGAUACAAAUCCUUGACCUUGUAAUCCCUAUGAUGGGCAUAGAAAUAUGUUUGGGGCUGAAUUAAUAGUCUCCCAUCAUACUCCUUUCAUCAAGUUUAGGUUAUGGCCAUGCCUUGUUCAUUUCAUUGGGCCAUGAUCUAUUUGGCUCUCUACUUGUAACCAUUCUUACAGGUGGAGUCUCUUUUGAAUAUUGCCAUUCAGACUCAGUCUAUUUGUGUCGUGCGAGAUUUGUUAUUGGUUAAGUCUGAUAAUGGUGUUGUGACUAAAACUGAUGGUGCCGCAAUGAAACCGAGGGCCUCCUGUGGAUGCAUACACAUGGUUGCGCUACUCGGCACGCGCUGGUAUCACGGUUAGUAGUUAUAAUCCAUUAUGAGACUAUAUCAAUGUGUUAUCUUGUCACAAAUUGUUCUUACCAUGUGAGAUUCAUUAUUGGUGCCAGUUCGGUAAUGGUGUCACGAUUAACGACUUAUGGUGCCGCAGCGAAACUGAGAGCCCCUUGUGAAUGUACACGCAAGGUUAUGCUGCUUGGCGCAUGCUGGUAUCGAUGUCUCUAGUCAUGAUCCAUUGUGGAACUACACUGAUGUGUGAUCUUUCGUGGAGUCCUCCCUUGAAACAAUUUCUAUGUUGUUUGUCAAGUGAUCAAGCAACAUCUAUCAUCUUUGUUGGAUCAAAAGGGCAUACCACUUUCAUGUGUGGUCUCUUUUCUUUUGAUCUUGGUAGUGACUACUCAUACAAGUUCCCUUUACAUCCUUUGUGUAAAGGUGAAGCCUGGGAACUUUUUAGUGUUGGAAGACAACUGAUUAGUUCUCAAAAUGAAGAUUGUUGGUUUCCCCUGCUGCUGAAAUGCAGGAGUUUGUUCAUUCGCUCUCUUAAUUAAUCCAUGUAUUCCCUAACCAAAUUCGAUCAUCUUGCCUGAAGAAAUGGAUGAACAACCUGACCAAAUGGAUUCUACCCAAAUGCAUGACCUUUUGCUAACAAGAGUGAACUCUCAACCCUUGGCUUACCGAAGGUACUGAGAGAAUUUGCUCAAGGUCAAAAGUAGUUCAACAAGUUGGUUUUACUAACUUGUAAUUGCCCAAUGAACAAAGGUUGAGUUUAGAGAUCGUUUUAUCAAGUUGUCUAAACUCACUUUUGUACAACCCCUCUUAAGGAAGUGUUUAUAAAAAAUCAAGUUAAAUCGACUGAUAACCACCUAAUGAUCGCUCUAGUCAUGCCUCGAACGCCUCACGUGUGCUUUUCCAGCAUGUGUGAUCAAGUCGAGCCAUGCCCAGUGAUUGAUAAAAUGGAUUGGUUACGAAGGCAGUAUCUGCCUAUCCCUUCGCUGGUGAUUUUGCGAGUCUAUCAUUUUCUUGGACUUGGAUUUUCUAGCUAGCCACGAGUUAAAUGUGAUGUUAUUCGACAUUCACACCCGUCUCGUGUGCUAUGAACUUACCGUGACCACUUGUUGGUAAACCUCUUUCUGUGUGUUUUACCCAAGAGGUUGCAUCUGGUUCUGUGUGGGUGAAAUCACGUAUUAGUCGCUCGCUCAACAGACUCAGAUAGUAUAGUGUCAUCAGAAAAAGCAAACUGCACACAUGGAACCUUAUGUGUUCCUCUGGCAGACAUCGUCUCUACUGGUGGACAUCUCUAAAUUAGCCUAAGGCGAUACAUGUUAUGUCCACUAGAGAAACGACAUCCUGAGACACUCGCCUUUAUUUGGAAAUGUCUCACGAUUAUCGCUGAUAUGGACAUGGGUUACAUGCUUCUCUACUCUUAGAAGUCUUUCGUUCUGAAUCUCGGGACGAGAUUCUUUUAAGGGGGGAGGGUUGUAACACCCCAGGUGUUUAUCGUCUGCUCGACCACGAGUGCGGACUUUAACACGUAAUAUCAGUGGAUAAAACGGAUGCUAAAUUUUAAACAUCUUUGUCUAUCGCGAUUUUAAUAUCGCAUCUGUUUCAUUUGUCGUGAGUUCGACAUUGUUUUUAUUUAUCUGGGCUCUUCCUAAAUUUUCGUGAUGUUCGGAACAUAGUUAUUCCGAAAAUCGGUGCGUCCGGUGAUUAUUUAAAAUUCAUCGCUCGCGCGAAUACGAAUUUGGAAGCUCGAUCCACCGUUGUGACCCAUAUUCCAAAUAAAUUAAUUAUAAUUCGAUGAUUAAAAUACUCAGUGCAAAAUAAUUGGGAUCUCGUUUUGUCUGAGAGAAAUCGUGCGCAAGUCGAUAAUCAAGUAUUCGGAUUGUUAGCCGAUUUUGUUUCCUAUUUCAAAGUCAAGUAAAUAAUAAGAUGAGAGAAAAAGUAAAAUCGUUUUCACUUGUCUCAUAUUUAUGCGUGUGCCUUGGUAAAAAAAAAGAAAAUAUGUUCUCGCAUUUUCCUUCAGGCGUUCUCGUCACUUUAUCCAUCUAUUCCGUGGAGCACCAAUCACCGCCAUAUUCCCUGGAGUCUAGGAUUUUUUUUUGCUCGCGAACUCUUAUAUCUCCCAGCCGAUAUUUUCUAUUAUGCUGUGUCCAAAUUCCUGGAGAAAAAAAAUCCUAUACAUCUUCAUCUAGCACGCACAUUUUCUCUCCUUAUCCUCGCACCGCUCUGCACCUGGAGGCUCUAUCUGUUCAUCUCUCUCAUCCAAUAGCUGUUCAUUUGGUAAAAAAAAUUUCUCUUCGUUAUCUGCAAUCGCCGCUCAGUACUUGGAAGAAAAAUCUGCCGCCUUCGUCGUUUGAUUUUUCUGCUGCCUAGCUUCGCAGAUUUUUUUCCAGCCAUCCCUAUCCUACGCCGCCCUCUCGCUUGAUAUUCCUGGUGGCCACCGCAUACAAGCUUCUUCCUCACACGCGUGCCGCAUACUUCUCUCUCAGGUGCCCCUCGUCUCCUCUCGGCCACAGUCGGCUUCAUCCACUCCGGUCAUGAUCCUCUCCCAGUGAAUCUCCCUGCUCGCCUCCAUGGCCCUGGUCGUCGAGCUGCCGGGCCGAGUCUGCUUGGCCGCCGGCCAUCUCCAGUGCAUCUCGGUCCCUCUCCGUUCCCUGCUUCUUGGUUCCGACCGCCGUGUACCUAGCUCCUUGCUCGUUCAUGGCGCUCGACGUUUAGAUUUCCUGCGGGUCGCGGCUUACCUUCUGCCAAGUCCCGCAUCUCCAUGGCGUGGACGUCUGCGUCCUCCCAUCUCUGCUCCUCCCUGCCCCAGCCGCAUCCGACCAAAACGCUCCUGCGCCCUGCUCGCUCCCUGGAGCUUUUUCCUGCGCACGCGCCGUGCUCUCAUCUCGGGAUUUCCCUGUUGUUCAGCUCGUCACGCCCGACUGUAUCUCCCGACCACGCAGCUGUGGCCUCUGCUCGGAUUCCUGUUGGCCGCGCCCCCUAUUUCUCCGGGCCGGUCAAGUUCUUUCCGACCGUGAGCUCUCUCGUGUGCGCGUUCAGCCGAGGCCCCAUCCCCUGCUGUGACCCGCCGCGAAUUUUCCUGCGCGCGUCGCCGUCGAGUUCUCGGGUGUUUUCGCACCGUGAAGUUCCUCUAGCGUCGUGGCUUCUCAAUUCCUUCUAGUCACGCGCGCGAAUUUUCUUCGCUCGACUUUAAUCCCCAAUCGCGUCGUCAACCUCGUCGUUCGUCGUCACGACGUUCGCCGUUAAGCCUCACUGCCAUUCCUGCUGUGCCUCGCUUCCGGUGUGUUCGAUUAAACGUCGGACCAAGAAUCCAAGAUGUUGCUCAUCCUUGCUGUGAAAUCCUCACGCUCACCAUUCUCUAUUCGAUCUCGUCGUCAAGCUGAAGGCCGUCGUUGUUCAGGCAACUACCAAAUCGAGUUGUGAUGUGGUGAGCCGAUUCGCUAUUUUUACUCUCGGUUUUAUGAUCGUAAAAUAAGACGCUUUGUAUAAGUAUACUAUUAAGUUAGAAAUACCAGUAAUGCGAGGUGUGCGCUUGGUAAUUAUGGCUAGAUCCGUUAUUAUGUCGUUAGGUUGUGUGAUGUUAUAGGGUCGAUGAUAGAAGUGGAAUUCUAGCUGUUGGGCGAUGACGGGAAGGACGUUGUUCAUCGCAUGCUUAAUGUUUGAUGGAUAGUCUGAACCGGAAACAUUGUCGUUCUCAUGAAUUUUGUAUCGACUAGUAAUAAUACACUGGAUUCGCUAGUUUUUAAUAUUAGUUCAAGACUUGGAUCAGUUCUCUAGACGGUAGUAACCGUGCGUCGUGGUUGUAUAAAUUGUUUAUUAAAAUGCUUCAUCGUAUAUAGUGUAUUGGUUUAUAUAUAUAUAUAUAUAUAUAUAUAUAUAUAUAUAUAUAUAUAUAUAUAUACAUAUGGGAUGUGUAGGUGAUGAGUAGGGUAGGUUUAGUGUUCUAAUUAAUUAACUAAUAAGUUGUGUUUAGGCUAAUUAUGUUAAAUAUGUAUUGUUUGUAUUUCGUAAUGUUUGCGUUAGAUUCGGUUAAUCUAGAGAAGCGUAAUUAUUGCGCUCAGUCGUACGUCAAUAACUAGUGUUUUCGGAUAAAAUAGUGCAACGCCUCGCCGCUAGGUGUUUAAUUCGCUAUCGCGUAGUACUAUUUAGGUUUGAAAUAUUUCGGUCUAUAUGCAUUCAUGUGCAUAAUGCAUUCCAUUCAGGUACGAUAAUUAAUCACGUGAUGCGGAAGAUGACCCAAGUCGACCCCAAGCGCGGCUACUCCGCAUGGAGAUGCUGAUGAACGAACCUGCCUGAUCAAGUGCUAGGACAAGGAUGAUCGUCAAGUGGACGUCACCUAACAACACUAACCUAGUGUUACCCAGGCAAGCCCCGGUGCAUGCAACCCCUUCCUUGUAUUUUUAAAUAAUUUUUACACACUUUAAGUCUAGUGAAAUGUGCAUUAAGUUUAUAGGAGUUGCUUGGAACCCUUUGAUGCAUUGCCUUCCUUGAUAUCCAUACCUUUAUAGAUACUUCUGAUGAAGUAUCAAAAUAUGAUUUACAAAAUUUGCUUAGCCUUGCUUAGAGGUAAAUCUUGUGGAUAGAGGUUGUCCUUUGCGUUAAUGCCUAGCUCAGGGGUUAUCCUGAGGAAGGAUGGCUUCUGCCUGCAAGAAUAUUUUCAUUGGGAGCAAUGGUGGGAUCUUACUGCAAAGUUCCCUUUGAUGCUCUUUUCAUCCUAAGGAAUACAAACAAUCCUAAGGGUGGAAGUACUUAAAUCGGGACUUGGGCUAGGAACAGGUGAUGCUCCGCCCGGGUCAAUUAAGGAUUGGAUGCGUAUGUAGGCCUGAUAGAUCAAGGACUAUCUUAACUGGCCACAUGCCCUGGAAAUGGGACAGGGUAAGCUUGAACCCGGCUAUUCCAUACGUGAAAAGACAACCGCGCACUGGGCGUGGGA
Molecule: long non-coding RNA, 8071 nt
Filed under: Zea mays
Lineage: Eukaryota; Viridiplantae; Streptophyta; Magnoliopsida; Poales; Poaceae
Description: long non-coding RNA (ZMAY_LNC002083)
Source: RNAcentral